GAUGAACGCUGGCGGCGUGCUUAACACAUGCAAGUCGAACGGUGAGGCCUCUUUCGCUGGGUACUCUAGUGGCGAACGGGUGAGUAACACGUGAGUAACCUGCCCUUGACUUUGGGAUAACUUCAGGAAACUGGGUCUAAUACCGGAUAGGAGCGCCUACUGCAUGGUGGGUGUUGGAAAGUUUUGUCGGUUUGGGAUGGACUCGCGGCUUAUCAGCUUGUUGGUGGGGUAAUGGCUUACCAAGGCCUCGACGGGUAGCCGGCCUGAGAGGGUGACCGGCCACAUCGGGAAUGGGGAAAGGCCCCGAACCCCAAGGGGGGGAGGAGUGGGGAAUAUUGCAAAAUGGGUCGAAGCCCGAUGGCGGCAAGGCGGGGGCGGGAAGAAGGGCCUCGGGGUGUAAAACGUCUUUGAGUAUGAAGAAAGUGAGAGUGACGGUAGUGGGUAAAGAAGCACCGGCUAACUACGUG
This 467-nucleotide ribosomal RNA is filed under the name uncultured bacterium. RNAcentral describes it as "partial 16S ribosomal RNA". It matches the Rfam family "Bacterial small subunit ribosomal RNA", at positions 28 to 507 of the family's 1533-position model. The record is from RNAcentral.